CCUACGGUGUGCUGCAGUGGGGAAUAUUGCACAAUGGGGGAAACCCUGAUGCAGCGACGCCGCGUGAGUGAAGGAGUAUUUCGGUAUGUAAAGCUCUAUCAGCAGGGAAGAAGCAAGACGGUACCUGACUAAGAAGCCCCGGCUAACUACGUGCCAGCAGCCGCGGUAAUACGGAGGGGGCAAGCGUUAUCCGGAUUUACUGGGUGGAAAGGGAGCGUAGACGGUAUGGCAAGUUUGAAGUGAAAGCCCAGGGCUUAACCCCGGGACUGCUUGGGAAACUGUGAGACUAGAGUGCUGGAGGGGUAAGUGGAACUCGUAGUGUAGCGGUGAAGUGCGGAGAUAGUAGGAGGAACACGAGGGGCGAAGGCGGCUUACUGGACAGUAACUGACGUUGGGGCUCGAAAGAGUGGGGAGCAAACAGGAUGAGAUACCCGUAGUC
Molecule: ribosomal RNA, 439 nt
Filed under: uncultured bacterium
Lineage: Bacteria
Description: partial 16S ribosomal RNA
Rfam family: Bacterial small subunit ribosomal RNA
Source: RNAcentral